UGUGCCAGCAGCCGCGGUAAUACGUAGGGUGCAAGCGUUAAUCGGAAUUACUGGGCGUAAAGCGUGCGCAGGCGGUUUUGUAAGUCUGACGUGAAAUCCCCGGGCUUAACCUGGGAAUUGCGUUGGAGACUGCAAGGCUAGAAUCUGGCAGAGGGGGGUAGAAUUCCACGUGUAGCAGUGAAAUGCGUAGAGAUGUGGAGGAACACCGAUGGCGAAGGCAGCCCCCUGGGUCAAGAUUGACGCUCAUGCACGAAAGCGUGGGGAG
RNAcentral lists this ribosomal RNA (265 nucleotides) under uncultured Burkholderiales bacterium. Its description in RNAcentral is "partial 16S ribosomal RNA". It matches the Rfam family "Bacterial small subunit ribosomal RNA", at positions 504 to 768 of the family's 1533-position model. The record is from RNAcentral. Lineage: Bacteria; Pseudomonadati; Pseudomonadota; Betaproteobacteria; Burkholderiales.